Molecule: ribosomal RNA, 723 nt
Filed under: uncultured bacterium
Lineage: Bacteria
Description: bacterial SSU rRNA
Rfam family: Bacterial small subunit ribosomal RNA
Source: RNAcentral
AGAGUUUGAUCCUGGCUCAGAAUGAACGUUGGCGGUGUGGAUUAGGCAUGCAAGUCGUGCGCGAAACGUAGCAAUACGUGGAGAGCGGCGAAAGGGAGAGUAAUACAUGGUUAGCUGCCCUCGGGACUGGAAUAGCGGCGGGAAACUGCCGGUAAUGCCAGAUAACGUCUUCGGACCAAACGUGUAAACCGGCCCGAGGAGGUGACCAUGUCCUAUCAGCUUGUUGGCGGGGUAACGGCCCACCAAGGCUAAGACGGGUAUGGGGCGUGAGAGCGUGCCCCCACUCACUGGGACUGAGAACUGCCCAGACACCUACGGGUGGCUGCAGUCGAGAAUCUUCGGCAAUGGGCGCAAGCCUGACCGAGCGACACCGCGUGCGGGAUGAAGGCCUUCGGGUUGUAAACCGCUGUCGUAGGGGAGGAAGGUCUGGUGUAUAGCCAGGCUUGACCGAUCCUAGGAGGAAGGGCCGGCUAAUCUCGUGCCAGCAGCCGCGGUAAUACGAGAGGCCCAAACGUUAUUCGGAUUUACUGGGCUUAAAGAGUUCGUAGGCGGCGCGGAAAGUAGGGUGUGAAAGCCCUCGGCUUAACCGAGGAAUUGCGCCCUAAACUGUCGCGCUCGAGGAACCUAGAGGUGAGCAGAACUGAUGGUGGAGCGGUGAAAUGCGUUGAUAUCAUCAGGAAUACCGGAGGCGAAGGCGGCUCACUGGGGGUUAUCUGACGCUGA